UGGACACAACCCGUACUUGUGACAGCGACUACUGAGGAUGGUGGCACACGCCUGUUGUCAAAUCAAACCUGCAAUGGACGCUGAGGAUGCCUCCGUACGGAUGAGCCAACGGCCGAGAUUGCCUCUCUUUCAACUUGUCUUUCUACUUUCUUCUUCAGCUCCAGCUUUAGCUUUGGUCGGCCCCCCUAUAAAACCACUCAUCUUCGCAUCUCGCACUCUUCUUUUCUUUUCACUCUCUUUCUUUUGCUGCGUGAUACCAACACCCAACGCCAAUGGCGCUGUUCUGGGAGAAGAAGACGAAACUAUGUCAUCUCCUUUUCGUCUUUUUCAACCUAUAAAUCUAAAAUUGCAUUAUGCGUGAGGGUUGGGUUUUCUUUCUCUCUUUUUUUUUUUUUUUCUAGUUUUAGGGUUUUCAUUUCGCGUGCAAUAAUUGCAUAAUGAGUGAGGUUUGGUGUUUCUGUUGGAUUUAAUAAUAUAGAAUAACGCUUCAAUUCCCUUUUUCUCUUCCCUUCUUUCGAACAAAAAUUAAGUUUGAUAUGAAGCAUUCAGCAUCAGGCCUGGGUCAGCAGGCUCAUGAAGGGGAAAACAAGUGCUUGAACUCGGAGCUAUGGCACGCCUGUGCUGGCCCACUGGUGUGCCUACCCACCGCGGGGAGCCGUCUGGUCUACUUUCCUCAGGGUCAUAGCGAGCAGGUAGCAGCCACCACUAACAAGGAAGUUGAUGCCCACAUUCCAAAUUACCCCAACUUGCCUCCUCAGUUGAUAUGCCAGCUCCACAAUGUUACCAUGCAUGCUGAUGUUGAGACAGAUGAAGUAUAUGCCCAAAUGACAUUGCAGCCUUUGACACCAGAAGAGCAGAAGGAUACAUUUCUUCCCAUGGAGUUGGGAAUUCCAAGCAAGCAGCCAACCAAUUAUUUCUGCAAGACCUUGACAGCAAGUGAUACUAGUACUCAUGGUGGUUUUUCUGUUCCUCGUCGUGCUGCUGAGAAAGUCUUUCCUCCACUGGACUUUUCGCAGCAGCCACCAGCUCAGGAACUUAUUGCGAGGGAUCUCCAUGAUGUUGAAUGGAAAUUUAGACAUAUUUUUAGAGGACAGCCUAAACGUCACCUUCUUACUACAGGUUGGAGUGUGUUUGUUAGUGCUAAGAGACUUGUUGCAGGGGAUUCUGUUCUUUUUAUUUGGAAUGAAAAGAAUCAGCUUCUUUUGGGAAUUCGCCGUGCCACUCGCCCACAAACUGUAAUGCCAUCAUCUGUUUUAUCUAGUGAUAGCAUGCACAUUGGACUCCUUGCUGCUGCUGCUCAUGCUGCAGCAACUAAUAGCUGCUUUACAGUAUUUUAUAAUCCAAGGGCUAGUCCAUCUGAGUUUGUAAUACCCCUUUCAAAAUACAUCAAGGCUGUUUUCCACAUGCGUGUCUCAGUUGGGAUGCGUUUUCGGAUGCUUUUUGAGACUGAAGAAUCAAGUGUUCGUAGGUAUAUGGGUACAAUAACUGGCAUAAGUGAUUUGGAUUCUGUUCGCUGGCCAAAUUCCCAUUGGCGGUCUGUGAAGGUUGGCUGGGAUGAGUCAACGGCAGGUGAGAGGCAGCCAAGGGUAUCAUUGUGGGAGAUUGAGCCUUUAACAACUUUUCCAAUGUAUCCAUCUCUGUUUCCCUUCAGACUGAAACGCUCUUGGCAUUCUGGUUCAUCUUCUUUGCAUGAUAACAGAGAUGAUGCAGCUAAUGGGUUAAUGUGGCUAAGGGGUGGAUCUGGAGAGCAAGGACUGCACUCUCUAAAUCUUCAGUCGUUUGGCUCAAUUCCGUGGAUGCAGCAAAAACUAGAUCUGAGUUUCCCUGGAAAUGAUCAUACUUUGCAGUACCUAGCCAUGCUGGCCAAUGGGUUGCAGAACCUGGGAAGUGGGGAUGCCCCGAGACAGCAGUUGCAGCAAUCUUUGCAGUAUGUUCAACAGCCUGGUGGCCACAAUUUACUAUUGCAGCUGCAGCAGCAGCAGCAACAGCAAGCUGUUUCACAGUCAGUUACACGUAACAUUGUGCAGGCACAAUCCCAAAUUUUAACUGAGAACUUGCCCCCAGUCCUUGGACAGGAGCAAGUAGGUAAUCAACCGGAGGAACAUGCUCAGCAACAGCAUAACAUGAUUCAAAGUGAUCAGUUCCAGCAGAGGCAGCCGGCUAAUGUGCCUUCAUCAUUUCUGAAAACAGAUUUCAUCAACUCAGCAAAGUUCUCAGGAUCUGUGCCCCCUCUCCAGAAUAUGCUGGGUUCAUUAUAUCCUGAAAGCAAUGUUAAUCUUUUGAACUUCUCCAGAACUAAUCAGUCGAUGCUAGCUGAGCAGUUAUCCCAACAGUCUUGGGAUCAAAAGUAUACUCAUUCACAGGUAAAUGCCUUUGCUAGCUCAACAUCACGUCCACCAGUGUUUCCUGGAAAAGAUGCUGUAAUAGAGCCAGAAAUUGGUAACUCUGAUGCCCAGAAUUCUACUCUUUUUGGUGUUAACAACAAUUCAUAUGGCCUUCUACUCCCCACCAUGAUGCCUGGCUUUGCUACAUCUUCAAGUGAAGCUGAUGUGCCAUCAAUUCCAUCAGGGGACCCCUUAUUCCAGAAUCCUCUGUAUGGUUGCAUGCAAGACUCUUCAGAGCUGCAGAGCACAGGGCAAGUUGACCCACUGGCUCCAACUCGAACAUUUGUCAAGGUUUAUAAAUCAGGGUCGGUGGGACGCUCAUUAGACAUCUCCCAGUGCAGCAGCUACCAUGAGUUGCGAGAGGAGCUGGCUCAGAUGUUUGGCAUUGAUGGGGAGUUGGAAGACCCUCUUAGAUCAGGCUGGCAGCUUGUAUUUGUUGACAGGGAGAAUGAUAUUCUUCUUCUUGGAGACGAUCCAUGGGAAUUUGAUCAAGUAGAAGCUCUUAGGCCCCGAAUCACUUCAGGAUUCAAGUUUUCUCAUCUAUCAACACUAUAUUAUAUUUACGAAUUGCCAAGUCCAUACACAAAAGCACAUCUUCAAUGUGCCUAGUAAGUUCAUCAAUAACUAAGCCAAAAGUUGAGUCUCAAAGCUGAUACUUGGUUUAAACUAGAGGUGACAAUUGGGCAAGUCAGGUGAGUUCGGGUCGAUGGAAAAUGUAUGUAUUUCGUGUUAUUUGGAUCUGAGUUUAACAUGGGUUAUUUUCAUUAGGGUUAUUGAGUUAGGGUCAUUUCAGUUUAAAGUAUUGAUUUUAAGUCAAAUCAAUUUAAGUUCAGAUUGCUUAAGGUUAGUCUGUUGAGUAGCUUAGGUUUGUUUCAUUCCAGGUUUGACCUGGGCGGGUUUGGAUUGUUGACUUUUCUUUCUCAAAUCAGGUUGGUUUAGGUUUGGACUUUAUUAUUUAUUUAUUUAUUUAUUUUUUCAGAUUAACUUUGACUGUAGUAGUUUAUACUCCGUUAAGCAACUUUUUCAUCAUCCAUAUCCUUUACACUGGAUAUAAGCACUUGACUUCUUUCUUCUCCAAGACCCUUUGAAAAACAAAAGGAAAACAGUAAAGAUAACAAGAAACUAUUGAUCUCAUAGGAAGAAGGAAAAAAUCCUGAGGGACUUAACUGAAGAGAGGUGACUGGAUCACAAGACUGAAUCAUAUGAUAGUUAAAACUCAAAAGGCGUUUGUGAAUAAUGUUUGGUACAUAAAGAUACUUUCACCAGAGGAUGUGCAGAGGAUGAGGG
This is a non-coding RNA of Durio zibethinus, 3671 nucleotides long. The record is from RefSeq and is a predicted model, not a curated record. Lineage: Eukaryota; Viridiplantae; Streptophyta; Magnoliopsida; Malvales; Malvaceae.